AUUGAACGCUGGCGGCAGGCCUAACACAUGCAAGUCGAGCGGAUGAAGGGAGCUUGCUCCUGGAUUCAGCGGCGGACGGGUGAGUAAUGCCUAGGAAUCUGCCUGGUAGUGGGGGAUAACGUCCUGAAACGGGCGCUAAUACCGCAUACGUCCUGAGGGAGAAAGUGGGUGAGCUUCGGACCUCACGCUAUCAGAUGAGCCUAGGUCGGAUUAGCUAGUUGGUGGGGUAAAGGCCUACCAAGGCGACGAUCCGUAACUGGUCUGAGAGGAUGAUCAGUCACCUUGGAACUGAGACACGGUCAAGACUCCUAAGGGAGGCAGCAGUGGGGAAUAUUGGACAAUGGGGGAAAGCCUGAUCCAGCCAUGCCGAGUGUGUGAAGAAGGUCUUGCGAUUGUAAAGCACUUUAAGUUGUGAGGAAGGGCAGUAAGUUAAUACCUUGCUGUUUUGACGUUACCAACAGAAUAAGCACCGGCUAACUUCGUG
RNAcentral lists this ribosomal RNA (484 nucleotides) under uncultured bacterium. RNAcentral's name for it is "partial 16S ribosomal RNA". It matches the Rfam family "Bacterial small subunit ribosomal RNA", at positions 30 to 507 of the family's 1533-position model. The record is from RNAcentral.